This 254-nucleotide ribosomal RNA is filed under the name uncultured bacterium. Its description in RNAcentral is "partial 16S ribosomal RNA". It matches the Rfam family "Bacterial small subunit ribosomal RNA", at positions 524 to 776 of the family's 1533-position model. The record is from RNAcentral.
GACGAACCGUGCGAACGUUGUUCGGAAUCACUGGGCUUAAAGGGCGCGUAGGCGGACUGCCAAGUCCGGGGUGAAAUCCUCCGGCUUAACCGGAGAAUUGCCUGGGAUACUGGCGGUCUUGAGGGAGGUAGGGGCACGCGGAACUUCCGGUGGAGCGGUGAAAUGCGUUGAUAUCGGAAGGAACGCCGGUGGCGAAAGCGGCGUGCUGGCCCUCUUCUGACGCUGAGGCGCGAAAGCCAGGGGAGCGGAACGGG